RNAcentral lists this ribosomal RNA (460 nucleotides) under uncultured bacterium. Its description in RNAcentral is "partial 16S ribosomal RNA". It matches the Rfam family "Bacterial small subunit ribosomal RNA", at positions 338 to 795 of the family's 1533-position model. The record is from RNAcentral.
CCUACGGGAGGCAGCAGUGAGGAAUAUUGGUCAAUGGGCGGAAGCCUGAACCAGCCAAGUAGCGUGCGGGAUGAAGGCCCUACGGGUCGUAAACCGCUUUUGCACGGGGAUAACACCCUCCACUUGUGUAGGUCUGCAGGUACCGUGCGAAUAAGGGCCGGCUAAUUCCGUGCCAGCAGCCGCGGUAAUACGGAGGAUGCGCGCGUUAUCCGGAUUUAUUGGGUUUAAAGGGUGCGCAGGCGGAAGCGGCAAGUCAGCGGUAAAAUUUCGGGGCUCAACCUCGCCCAGCCGUUGCAACUGCUAGUCUAGAGUGGGCGAGAAGUAGGCGGAAUGCGUGGUGUAGCGGUGAAAUGCAUAGAUAUCACGCAGAACUCCGAUUGCGAAGGCAGCAUACCGGAGCCCAACUGACGCUCAUGCACGAAAGCGUGGGUAUCGAACAGGAUUAGAUACCCGUGUAGUC